GACUCAUUAGCUCAGCUGGAUAGAGCAUUUGCCUCCUAAGCAAAAGGUCGCACGUUCGACUCGUGUAUGAGUCA
This is a non-coding RNA of Treponema porcinum, 74 nucleotides long. NCBI's taxonomy places the organism in Bacteria, Pseudomonadati, Spirochaetota, Spirochaetia, Treponematales, Treponemataceae. The record is from Rfam.